UGCCCAAGAGAUCGGGAUAACACCUGGAAACAGAUGCUAAUACCGGAUAACAACAGAUGAUGCCUAUCAACUGUUUAAAAGAUGGUUCUGCUAUCACUCUUGGAUGGACCUGCGGUGCAUUAGCUAGUUGGUAGGGUAACGGCCUACCAAGGCGAUGAUGCAUAGCCGAGUUGAGAGACUGAUCGGCCACAUUGGGACUGAGACACGGCCCAAACUCCUACGGGAGGCAGCAGAC
RNAcentral lists this ribosomal RNA (235 nucleotides) under uncultured Lactobacillus sp. Its description in RNAcentral is "partial 16S ribosomal RNA". It matches the Rfam family "Bacterial small subunit ribosomal RNA", at positions 127 to 354 of the family's 1533-position model. The record is from RNAcentral. Lineage: Bacteria; Bacillati; Bacillota; Bacilli; Lactobacillales; Lactobacillaceae.